This 88-nucleotide non-coding RNA is filed under the name pig gut metagenome. The record is from RNAcentral.
UUGGGGUGCCAGAAGUGCAGGUGGCCUUUCUGAGCUGAGAAAAUACCCAGGAACCUGAUCCGGGUAAUGCCGGCGGAGGAAAAGGAGA